Molecule: ribosomal RNA, 171 nt
Filed under: Epigonus sp. CBM:ZF:15589
Lineage: Eukaryota; Metazoa; Chordata; Actinopteri; Acropomatiformes; Epigonidae
Description: partial 12S rRNA
Source: RNAcentral
CACCGCGGUUAUACGAGAGGCCCAAGUUGAUAGACAUCGGCGUAAAGAGUGGUUAAGACAAAUUAAAGACUAAAGCCGAACACCCUCAGAACUGUUAUACGUAUCCGAGAGCAAGAAGUUCAAUCACGAAAGUGGCUUUACCCUCCCCCCGAACCCACGAAAGCUAUGACA